AGCAGAAUGUGGAUUGAGAAUUACAAUGCAGAUAAUUUUUCACUUCUUAAAACAUCUUAUAGGUUUUGUAAUGUUGAUUACAAAGAUCUCUGGAAAUUUUCAAUCCAAGAUUUUAAUGUGUGCCAAGCGAUACACAGGGAAGAACUUGAGCAUCUUGAGGGAUGGAUCAAGAAAUAUGGCAUAAACAAUCUCAAGUAUACAAGGCCGACGAUUAUAUAUGCCUUUUUUGCCAUUGCAUCUACAUUUUUCCAACCUAAUUUCUCCAAUAUUCGCAUGUCAUGGGCCAAAAAUUCUGUCCUGGCAACUGCUGUUGAUGAUUUCUUUGACUUCGCUGGCUCUAUGGAAGAACUAUUAAACCUGAUUGAUUUGAUCGAAAGGUGGGAUCAGCAUUCAACCAUUGACUACAAGUCUAAAGAAGUUGAGAUACUCUUUGGUGCAAUUUAUGGCACCACUAAUGAACUUGCAGCUAAGGCUAGCAUUCAACAAGGAAGAUGCAUCAAAAGGCACCUAAUUGACAUUUGGAUAAGCUUUCUCAAGGCUAAUUUAAAAGAGGCAGAGUGGGCAAGAAACAAGAC
Molecule: unclassified non-coding RNA, 575 nt
Filed under: Hevea brasiliensis (rubber tree)
Lineage: Eukaryota; Viridiplantae; Streptophyta; Magnoliopsida; Malpighiales; Euphorbiaceae
Source: RNAcentral